Molecule: ribosomal RNA, 469 nt
Filed under: uncultured bacterium
Lineage: Bacteria
Description: partial 16S ribosomal RNA
Rfam family: Bacterial small subunit ribosomal RNA
Source: RNAcentral
GACGAACGCUGGCGGCGUGCUUAACACAUGCAAGUCGAACGGAAAGGCCCUGCUUGCAGUGUGCUCGAGUUGCGAACGGGUGAGUAACACGCGGGUGAUCUGCCCCUCACUUUGGGUUAAGCCUGUGAAACUGGGUCUAAUACUGGAUAGGACAUUGCUGUAGGUGGUGUGGUGGAAAGAGAAGUUUCGGUCUGGGAUGAGUUCUCGGCCUAUCAGCUUUUUGGCGGGGUAAUGGUCUACCAAGGCGUCGACGGGUAGCCGGCCUGAGCGGGAGGUCGGCCACGUUGGGACUGAGAAACGGAGCAGACUCCUGGGAGGGGCCGCAAUGGGGCAAAAUGCAGAAUGGGCACCAGCCCGAUGGUGCGGAGGCGCGUGGGGGCGGACGGCCUUCGGGUUGGAAACGCCUUUCAGCCAUAGCGAAGCCCUUGUGGUGACGGUAAUGGAAGAAGAAGCCCCGGCUAACUACGUG